RNAcentral lists this ribosomal RNA (397 nucleotides) under uncultured Glomeromycotina. RNAcentral describes it as "SSU rRNA". It matches the Rfam family "Eukaryotic small subunit ribosomal RNA", at positions 569 to 970 of the family's 1831-position model. The record is from RNAcentral. Lineage: Eukaryota; Fungi; Glomeromycota.
AGCAGCCGUGGUAAAUUCCAGCUCCAAUAGCAUAUAUUAAAGUUGUUGCAGUUAAAAAGCUCGUAGUUGAAUUUUGGAGUUCUUCCGUUGGUCAGGCUAACCAGUCUGUACUAGCGUGUAGAAUCCCUACCUUCUGGGGAACCAUCAUGUUAUUAAUUUAGCGUGGUGGGAAACCAGGACCUUUACCUUGAAAAAAUUAGAGUGUUCAAAGCAGGCUUACGUCUGAAUACAUUAGCAUGGAAUAAUAAAAUAGAACGGUGGUCCUGUUUUGUUGGUUUCUGAAUCACCGUAAUGAUUAAUAAGGAUAGUUGGGGGCAUUAGUAUUCAAUUGUCAGAGGUGAAAUUCUUGGAUUUAUUGAAGACUAACUUCUGCGAAAGCAUUUGCCAAGGAUGUUUU